Molecule: ribosomal RNA, 484 nt
Filed under: uncultured bacterium
Lineage: Bacteria
Description: partial 16S ribosomal RNA
Rfam family: Bacterial small subunit ribosomal RNA
Source: RNAcentral
AUUGAACGCUGGCGGCAGGCCUAACACAUGCAAGUCGAGCGGAUGAAGGGAGCUUGCUCCUGGAUUCAGCGGCGGACGGGUGAGUAAUGCCUAGGAAUCUGCCUGGUCGUGGGGGAUAACGUCCGGAAACGGGCGCUAAUCUCGCAUACGUCCUGAGGGAGAAAGUGGGGGAUCUUCGGACCUCACGCUAUUAGCUGAGCCUAGGUCGUAUUAGCUAGUUGGUUGGGUAAAGGCCUACCAAGGCGACGAUCCGUAACUGGUCUGAGAGGAUGAUCAGUCACACUGGAACUGAGACACGGUCCAGACUCCUACGGGAGGCAGCAGUGGGGAAUAUUGGACAAUGGGCGAAAGCCUGAUGCAGCCAUGCCGCGUGAGUGAAGAAGGUCUUCGGAUUGUAAAGCACUGUAAGUUGGGAGGAAGGGCAGUAAGUUAAUACCUUGCUGUUUUGACGUUACCAACAGAAUAAGCACCGGCUAACUUCGUG